Molecule: long non-coding RNA, 149 nt
Organism: Microtus oregoni (creeping vole)
Lineage: Eukaryota; Metazoa; Chordata; Mammalia; Rodentia; Cricetidae
Exons: 3
Source: RefSeq, a predicted model, not a curated record
CUCCCAGGGAUGGCACUCUGCAAAGAUGCUGCCCAGUUCAUCUGAAUUUUGAAUACACAACAAAUAUUUUGGACAUAUGUCAAAAGUUUAAAAGAUAUGAUCAAGCAGUUCCCGGAUGCUCUGGAGAGUUUGGGGUCUCUUUAUGCACG